UCCUUCUUGAUGUCCUGCUUCAGAGUCCUUAUUCCUCAAGCUCGAAUGCCAGCUGAAUCUUGGCCUCUUCAGCUUCCUUAGAGGUGGACUCUAAUUUCUAUUCAACUGUCUUCCUCUCCUUCUUAGUUGUGUUCUGCUCCUUCUCAGCCUUUUUCAGCUUCACUUCGAGAGAAGCCCUAGCCUGACCCUGUUUGGCUAAAAGCUUCUCUCAUGAAGGUAAGAGGAUUUACCAUCGGUACAAGGAGCACAAACUAUAAGAGAAAGUUGAAAAAGAAGGAUAAAAGAAGGAUGAGAAGAAGAGAUUACCGCAAUGAUGCUAACCAAACUAGCGUCCAAUGCUCUCUCCACUAUAAGGCUCUUCUGUAGCUCAGAUCCAUGGGGAGCACGAGAAGACUUGUCAACUCCCUAGCCAGCUGACCGUUCAUCAGUGCUGACACUUUCUCCUUCAUGAUCUUCGUCAGCAUGAUUGUAUUCUCCUCGAUAGCUGGUUCAGAAGAAGGUUGGCCAUCUCU
Molecule: long non-coding RNA, 512 nt
Filed under: Elaeis guineensis (African oil palm)
Lineage: Eukaryota; Viridiplantae; Streptophyta; Magnoliopsida; Arecales; Arecaceae
Description: long non-coding RNA (EGUI_LNC034504)
Source: RNAcentral